Molecule: unclassified non-coding RNA, 223 nt
Filed under: plant metagenome
Description: partial contains small subunit ribosomal RNA, internal transcribed spacer 1, and 5.8S ribosomal RNA
Source: RNAcentral
UUUCCGUAGGUGAACCUGCGGAAGGAUCAUUAAAGCGAUUAUGCCCUUCGUGGUAGAUCUCCCACCCUUUGUUUGUAUUACCUUUGUUGCUUUGGGAGGCCCGUCUUCGGACCACCGGCUUCGGCUGGUCAGUGCUUGCCAGAGGACCCAAAACUCUUAUUAUUAAUGUCGUCUGAGUACUAUAUAAUAGUUAAAACUUUCAACAACGGAUCUCUUGGUUCUG